ACGAACGCUGGCGGCGUGGAUAAGACAUGCAAGUCGAACGGGACAACAUUUGUAGCAAUACAAAUGGUGUUUAGUGGCGAACGGGUGCGUAACACGUGGGCAAUCUGCCGAGAAGUGGGGGAUAGCUCGCCGAAAGGCGAAUUAAUACCGCAUAUGAUCAGGGACGACAUCUUCCCAACAUCAAAGCCGCCCAGCACUUUCAGUUGAUUUGGAAUUCAGGAGACGAUCAUCGCUUCAUCGAGCGGCGGUCAUUUUUGGAAAACUAACGAGUCGAUUGAAAGUGCUGGGUGGCGCUUCUUGAUGAGCCCGCGGCCUAUCAGCUAGUUGGUGAGG
RNAcentral lists this ribosomal RNA (333 nucleotides) under uncultured bacterium. RNAcentral's name for it is "bacterial SSU rRNA". It matches the Rfam family "Bacterial small subunit ribosomal RNA", at positions 29 to 257 of the family's 1533-position model. The record is from RNAcentral.